UUGAUCCUUCAUGUGAUGUCUUGAUUUGUCGAUUUACAUGAUUCCUCACUACAAAACACUCAAAACACCUGUGGAGUUGCAUAAUUUAGGAUAAAAGUGAAUUCCAACAACUCGUGUGGAAAGAAUACAAUAUAAUCCACAAACCAUUGAAAAAUCCUCUAACUCUCAUCUUAUUUGUCUUAAUAUGAAAAUAAAAGUACUAAAAACAUAACUAAAAAUAUCAUAUAAUGUUCGAUCAUCAUAAAGAAAUAAUUAAAUAGUUUAAGCAUUAUAAAAUUUUAAAACCCUUCAGAAUUCUAGAAUCAUUCAUAAAUGUCUCUUAAAUAUAUCAAUGUGUUCUUUUUGUCCCCUUAGAACACUUAAGAAGGCGGUCAUGCAGUAAACAUAAUAAUCAAAAUAAUUGAAUAUAAUUUUACUAACUUGUUAUCUUUUAAAUAAUUUUAUUAUUUUCUUAACCCUUUGAUUACAAGUCAUCUUACAAUAUUCUUAGCAUGUUUUUCAAUCAAUUUUAGUAGGUUUUACCAACAAAGUAGAGGAAUAUUAGAUCAAUUUCUUAUGAUUUCGGGUCAUUUGUAUUGAUUUCUAUAUUUUAGUCUAUAAUUCUACUAUUCCCAAAACACAUCAAUUUUAGGGUAUUCUUGAUGUAAUUUACGAAGAAAUCAAGCAAAUCAGACAAAGCAAGACAUUCGAAGAUUUAUGUGGUCCUUGAGAAGAUGAAGAAGGAAAAUUCAAGAGGCAUCAGAAGACUUUACAAAUGGAGGAAUUUGUUCCCAAGUUUCAAUACAUCUUACAUUGAAGAAAACACCUAAACUGGCGAAAAAAAUAGGCAAAACAACACAGAAAACGCACUGAGGCGCCCAAACGCGCCUUAGAGUGGGCUAGGCACCCCCAGAGCUGUUGAAAUAAAGCACCUAGUGCAUGCCAGGGAGCUCUAGGUGCCUCAGGCUGGCAAGCACAUGCGCCUAGCGCAUGGCCUUAGGUGCCUAGCGCAUGGUGACUUACGAAAAAAGUAAUUUUUUGUGACUUUUUCGCCCCUAUAAGCCCAUGUGUUUAGCCCAAGUUAGGUGAAACUUUCUCUAUAAAUACCGCCUUCCUCAUUCAUAAUCUCUUGCUCAGAACUGGAGCAAUUCAAGAAAAAUGUGAUUCUUUGAGCCAAAGAGGAGUUCUAUCUUCUCCUAUCUUUUCUAGCGUAUUUUUUUAUCUUUUUGUAUUUUGUCUUGGUUAUCAUGUGUAACUAAAUACUUAUAGGCUAGGGUUCUAAGAUAAACCGCUUCUAAGAUAAACCGCUAUUUGUUUUGUUGUAUAAUAUUUUAAUUCAAUGUCGUUUAUUUUAGUAUGUUUUAUGUUCGCUGUUAAGUUUUAUUAGGAUUAGUUUAUUCCGACGAAGUGCAACUCUAGAUUAGGUAUUUAGGUUGUGAGCGGGUCUAAUAUUGAUCUUACUGUCCUGAUGUUUAUAUCUGGAUAUUUAUAUCUUGUAUAUUAAUAUCUACCUAUCUAAAAAGUAAGUGAUUAAUAACUAGACGAAAGAUAUACCAAGAGUGAGUUGAGCCUAGUAGUAAGUACAACUUUACUAACUUGUCAUCAUUUAAAUAUUUUUUUUUUUUUUUUACCUUUCAUGAGAGUAAAGUGAAAAAAUACAUUUUUAUAUCAUCAUAAAGUUACGUAGGAAUAUAAAGCACCCUUAGAUAUUUAUGAACAAUCUAACUUUUUUUAUUAAAUCAUUGGAUCAUAAAGAAUUUAUAUUUAAACAAUUUCAUUGCAUAAUUUAUUCAACUUUCUUAUUGACAUCAAUUGUAUGAAUCAAAUAUAUACCAUUGGCCCCUUUCUUGUAUAUUGAUAGGCUUUUAGCAAGUGUAUUAUAAACUACCAAAGCAAUAAAGUAUAAAAUUUGUAUCCACAUGGACUGCAUUAGUUUCUACUAGGCAAAGACAUAAUCAACACAGAUGUAUUAAAAUUUGGGGGUUGCACAAGGCAAAUAGUUUCUUUAACAAUCAUAAAUUAAAUAGCAAAAAGUAAAUGGUUUCAAAUCCCAUAUCCGUCAAUGUUUGGUAAUCUGCAUCUAAACCCUACAAUUGUUCUUCAAAUUUCAUUAUAUUUUUAAUAAAAACACAAUGUAACUUUUUUUUCCGUCUUAUUUUUGUUAGAGCAGUUCUUCUAAUUAUUUGUUCAUACCUUUUUUUUUUUAUAAAAUAGCAAAGUUUUAACAACAAACAUUAUAAUUAUUUUCUUUAAAACCAAUCAAAACUUUUUGUUGCCUCCGUACAAACUAAGGAAAAUAAUAACCUAAAAUGUUGAUAAAGGUAUUCGUUCGAAGUAAUAUUUUUAUAUUAUUGAUUAGAAUAUAAAUCUUUUUGGAUUAGUUACAUGACUAUUUUUUAUGUUUAGGGAUGUUUUUUUCAAUUAAAUAAAAGUUUGUUUUUUGAAAAAGUCUAUUUGAUUUAAAUAGGGGCUAAUUUUUACUAUUAGAGUCGGAUCUCCAAUUUCCUAGAAACGACCUCACACACACAUGUGUGUGUGUUAAGCAAAUUAGUCUAAAGACCCCGCGACACAUACGGAUAAUUGGGUCUCUUAAGCAUAUUGGUUCUGUAUUCAACUUUAGUACCGAGUAUGUACGAAAAAUAUAUUGUUGGAAUAGGCAAAUUCCAUGUUAGUGAUCUCUAAGCCUAGAGGAGGAUUUUGUUUAUCACAACUGUCUGAAAAAUUCUUUUCAAGUGGUAGUCAUUGGUCCGCAAUAUAUUGUAUGAGAAAUAUAUUGUUGGAAUGCGCAAAUAGUCAUUGGUCCGCAAUAUUUUCUUUAAUCUUAGUCGAAUGCAUGUCCUCUCCUUUAAAAACUAGCUAUAAUAUUAAUUGGUGCCAUAUCCUUGUAAUUGAUAUUGUGUGAUUCAUCACUUUUAGCAUAGCACUAUUAAUUAAUCUCUUGACGACUAGUUGUCGUCCAUUAUUUUUUUUCACCCAUUGGAUCGAAUUAAUCUACGUAGCAUUCACCAUCCCUAAAAGCUUUUUGCUCGUCCCUUUUCCAAGUGAUGCCACUCCUCUUAUUGAGCAUACGCUAGAAAAUAUUGUUUUGUGAUAUAGUGCAAAAUUGCAUAAUGCAUGCAUUGCAAAAUAUUAAUGUGAAAACCCAAACAAUUGCUAGACCUAAUAAUGUUAAUUAUUUGCUUCGUAAUAAUACUGAUUAAUUAUUCAACAUUGGUGAUAAGAAUGAGGUAAUCUUCAUUCUAAGGAUUAGACACAACAAAUAUAUUGUUCUAGACCUCAGAAUGCAGAUUAUCCAAUCCUCACCCAAUAGUUCUUUAUGAAAGCUGCAGACUAAUAAAAGCUUAUUAAAAUGAUUAUGUCCAAUUUUUUUAAUUGGUAAAAAAGAAGAGGUAAUCAACAUCCCGAAGAGUAGAUACAAUAAG
Molecule: long non-coding RNA, 3401 nt
Filed under: Medicago truncatula (barrel medic)
Lineage: Eukaryota; Viridiplantae; Streptophyta; Magnoliopsida; Fabales; Fabaceae
Description: long non-coding RNA (MTRU_LNC007069)
Source: RNAcentral